AGUGAACGCUGGCGGUAGGCCUAACACAUGCAAGUCGAACGGCAGCACAGUAAGAGCUUGCUCUUACGGGUGGCGAGUGGCGGACGGGUGAGGAAUACAUCGGAAUCUACUUUUUCGUGGGGGAUAACGUAGGGAAACUUACGCUAAUACCGCAUACGACCUACGGGUGAAAGCAGGGGAUCUUCGGACCUUGCGCGAUUGAAUGAGCCGAUGUCGGAUUAGCUAGUUGGCGGGGUAAAGGCCCACCAAGGCGACGAUCCGUAGCUGGUCUGAGAGGAUGAUCAGCCACACUGGAACUGAGACACGGUCCAGGCUCCUACGGGAGGCAGCAGUCGGGUAUAUUGGACAAUGGGCGCAAGCCUGAUCCAGCCAUCCCGCGUGGGUGAAGAAGGCCUUCGGGUUGUAAAGCCCUUUUGUUGGGAAAGAAAAGCAGCAGGUUAAUACCCCGCUGUUCUGACGGUACCCAAAGAAUAAGCACCGGCUAACUUCGUG
RNAcentral lists this ribosomal RNA (492 nucleotides) under uncultured bacterium. RNAcentral's name for it is "partial 16S ribosomal RNA". It matches the Rfam family "Bacterial small subunit ribosomal RNA", at positions 29 to 507 of the family's 1533-position model. The record is from RNAcentral.